AGUGAACGCUGGCGGUAGGCCUAACACAUGCAAGUCGAACGGCAGCACAGUAAGAGCUUGCUCUUACGGGUGGCGAGUGGCGGACGGGUGAGGAAUACAUCGGAAUCUACUUUUUCGUGGGGGAUAACGUAGGGAAACUUACGCUAAUACCGCAUACGACCUACGGGUGAAAGCAGGGGCUCUUCGGACCUUGCGCGAUUGAAUGAGCCGAUGUCGGAUUAGCUAGUUGGCGGGGUAAAGGCCCACCAAGGCGACGAUCCGUAGCUGGUCUGAGAGGAUGAUCAGCCACACUGGAACUGAGACACGGUCCAGACUCCGACGGGAGGCAGCAGUGGGGAAUAUUGGACAAUGGGCGCAAGCCUGAUCCAGCCAUACCGCGUGGGUGAAGAAGGCCUUCGGGUUGUAAAGCCCUUUUGUUGGGAAAGAAAAGCAGCAGGUUAAUACCCCGCUGUUCUGACGGUACCCAAAGAAUAAGCACCGGCUAACUUCGUG
RNAcentral lists this ribosomal RNA (492 nucleotides) under uncultured bacterium. RNAcentral describes it as "partial 16S ribosomal RNA". It matches the Rfam family "Bacterial small subunit ribosomal RNA", at positions 29 to 507 of the family's 1533-position model. The record is from RNAcentral.